UGGGGAAUUUUGGACAAUGGGCGAAAGCCUGAUCCAGCCAUGCCGCGUGAGUGAAGAAGGCCUUCGGGUUGUAAAGCUCUUUUAGUCGGAAAGAAAGAGUUGCAAUGAAUAAUUGUGAUUUAUGACGGUACCGACAGAAAAAGCACCGGCUAACUACGUGCCAGCAGCCGCGGUAAUACGUAGGGUGCGAGCGUUAAUCGGAAUUACUGGGCGUAAAGGGUGCGCAGGCGGUCUUGCAAGUCAGAUGUGAAAGCCCCGGGCUUAACCUGGGAAUUGCGUUUGAAACUACAAGGCUAGAGUGCAGCAGAGGGGAGUGGAAUUCCAUGUGUAGCAGUGAAAUGCGUAGAGAUGUGGAAGAACACCGAUGGCGAAGGCAGCUCCCUGGGUUGACACUGACGCUCAUGCACGAAAGCGUGGGGAGCAAACAGGAUU
RNAcentral lists this ribosomal RNA (432 nucleotides) under uncultured Nitrosomonas sp. Its description in RNAcentral is "bacterial SSU rRNA". It matches the Rfam family "Bacterial small subunit ribosomal RNA", at positions 355 to 779 of the family's 1533-position model. The record is from RNAcentral. Lineage: Bacteria; Pseudomonadati; Pseudomonadota; Betaproteobacteria; Nitrosomonadales; Nitrosomonadaceae.